AGUGAACGCUGGCGGUAGGCCUAACACAUGCAAGUCGAACGGCAGCACAGUAAGAGCUUGCUCUUACGGGUGGCGAGUGGCGGACGGGUGAGGAAUACAUCGGAAUCUACUUUUUCGUGGGGGAUAACGUAGGGAAACUUACGCUAAUACCGCAUACGACCUACGGGUGAAAGCAGGGGAUCUUCGGACCUUGCGCGAUUGAAUGAGCCGAUGUCGGAUUAGCUAGUUGGCGGGGUAAAGGCCCACCAAGGCGACGAUCCGUAGCGGGGCUGAGAGGAUGUACCGCCCCUUGGAAAGUGAGACACGAUCCAGACCCUGAGGGAAGGCAGCGAGGGGGAAUGUAGGCAAAAGGGGGCAAGCUUGAACAAGCCAUACCGGGUGGGUGAAGAGGCCCUGCGGGUGGAAAGGCCCUUUUGUGGGAAAAAAAAGCCAGCAGGUGAAAACCCGCUGUUCUGACGGUACCCAAAGAAUAAGCACCGGCUAACUUCGUG
Molecule: ribosomal RNA, 491 nt
Filed under: uncultured bacterium
Lineage: Bacteria
Description: partial 16S ribosomal RNA
Rfam family: Bacterial small subunit ribosomal RNA
Source: RNAcentral